RNAcentral lists this ribosomal RNA (505 nucleotides) under uncultured bacterium. RNAcentral's name for it is "partial 16S ribosomal RNA". It matches the Rfam family "Bacterial small subunit ribosomal RNA", at positions 28 to 507 of the family's 1533-position model. The record is from RNAcentral.
GACGAACGCUGGCGGCGUGCCUAAUACAUGCAAGUAGAACGCACAGUUUAUACCGUAGCUUGCUACACCAUAGACUGUGAGUUGCGAACGGGUGAGUAACGCGUAGGUAACCUGCCUGGUAGCGGGGGAUAACUAUUGGAAACGAUAGCUAAUACCGCAUAAUAUUAAUUAUUGCAUGAUAAUUAAUUGAAAGGUGCAAUUGCACCACUACCAGAUGGACCUGCGUUGUAUUAGCUAGUAGGUGAGGUAACGGCUCACCUAGGCGACGAUACAUAGCCGACCUGUGAGGGUGAUCGGCCACACUGGGACUGAGACACGGCCCAGACUCCUACGGGAGGCAGCAGUAGGGAAUCUUCGGCAAUGGACGAAAGUCUGACCGAGCAACGCCGCGUGAGUGAAGAAGGUUUUCGGAUCGUAAAGCUCUGUUGUAAGAGAAGAACGGGUGUGAGAGUGGAAAGUUCACACUGUGACGGUAUCUUACCAGAAAGGGACGGCUAACUACGUG